GUGUAUGUGUGUGUGUGUGUGUGUGUGUGUUUGUGUGUAAUUCAAUAAUUAAUAUUUUCAUAAGAUUUUAAACAUGUUUAUUUUGCGUUAGGCAUGUGACCUUACCUGUUCUAAUCGGGGUUGCUGGAUUGCUAUUGCUACUGGUUGCUGUGGUUGGCUUGGUAUUCUGUAAAACUUGUGCAGGGAGGAAUAGGGCAUCAAGAGAGAAAAACAACUUGACACAUGCACCUGUGACCCUUGGAACAAACUCUCAGCCUGAGGAUAGCCUGACAUAUAGCACUGUGGCCUUAAAGGAAAGAAGCAACAACCACAAACAACCCCAGGGUUCCACAGCAUCUCUAUCCACUGACCACCCUAAUGUGACCCACUGCCACAAGCCCAGUUCUACAGAGCCUCUGGACACUGCUGGUGCUGCUGAUGUGGUCUACAGCGCUGUAUCAAGAGUGCAAUGAGGGGUGUUAUUACCAAAACUGCUCAGCAGGGGGUGAUCAGCUCUCAAGUCUAAGAUGUUGGGGGCCACAAAGUAGGCCUACAUAGAAGACACCAAAGAUUUAGGCCUACUGUUAAACUUUAGUCCGGACUUCACAGUAAAGUGCCCUUGUUACAUUGCACCCAAAAACACAGUGUAAAAUAUGUAAUAAUAUUAAAUUGUGACAUGCUUUAGGGAUUGUUUUGGAAUAGCUAUAUGUUCUGUAAAGUCCAGAGUAUUAUAUAUUGACUAGUGCUUUACCCUUUAGGGGUCUAAAGACAUUCCUUUAUGCUUAUUGCUUACCACUAUGCUGUAGAUAUCUAUCUGUGACAUCUGUGCUAUUCUUGGCUUUGUGGUAUUCACAGGAAGAUUACAGUGCAACAAAGUCACGUGAUUCAAUGCCUGUUGCCUGUAUUGUUACAGUAUUUAAUUUCAAAACAAAUAAAACAUAGUUUGUUUAUUGCUUA
Molecule: long non-coding RNA, 936 nt
Organism: Alosa sapidissima (American shad)
Lineage: Eukaryota; Metazoa; Chordata; Actinopteri; Clupeiformes; Clupeidae
Exons: 6
Source: RefSeq, a predicted model, not a curated record